UGAGAGAUGUUGCUGCAGGAGAUUUGUGCGGAGAGAUGCCAGUAGAUAAAUUGGUCUUCGAUGCUCAAGAUGAAGAAAGAAUCCCUAAGUAGGAAGAUACUUAUAUUUUCAGAUAAAACUAUGUUCUUGGAACCAGGUGGACCUACCCAUAUCUUACUAUCAUAUUGUUUCUAAGAUGCCCUCUUGCAGUACUGGUGAAGCCUUACAAAGCAGAAUCAACUUCCUGGAAGACCUUUUUGCAAGGACAACUACAUGAUAAACGUAUUUCUGGAGAAAGCAUGAAGAGUAGAAAUUUUACUGCUCAAGCAUUGAUGUCUACACAAUGUAGACACAUAUUUCUGAGCUAAUCAG
Molecule: long non-coding RNA, 351 nt
Organism: Gallus gallus (chicken)
Lineage: Eukaryota; Metazoa; Chordata; Aves; Galliformes; Phasianidae
Source: Ensembl